Molecule: small nuclear RNA, 103 nt
Organism: Cercocebus atys (sooty mangabey)
Lineage: Eukaryota; Metazoa; Chordata; Mammalia; Primates; Cercopithecidae
Source: Ensembl
GCUCCCUUCGGCAGCACGUAUAUAAAGCUGAACAAUACAGGGAAGGUUAGCAUGGCCCUUGGGCAAGGAUGGCACCCAAAUUCAUGAAACAUUCCACAUAUUU